This 492-nucleotide ribosomal RNA is filed under the name uncultured bacterium. RNAcentral's name for it is "partial 16S ribosomal RNA". It matches the Rfam family "Bacterial small subunit ribosomal RNA", at positions 29 to 507 of the family's 1533-position model. The record is from RNAcentral.
AGUGAACGCUGGCGGUAGGCCUAACACAUGCAAGUCGAACGGCAGCACAGUAAGAUCUUGCUCUUACGGUUGGCGAGUGGCGGACGGGUGAGGAAUACAUCGGAAUCUACUUUUUCGUGGGGGAUAACGUAGGGCAACUUACGCUAAUACCGCAUACGACCUACGGGUGAAAGCAGGGGAUCUUCGGACCUUGCGCGAUUGUAUGAGCCGAUGUCGGAUUAGCUAGUUGGUAAGGUAAAGGCCCACCAAGGCGACGAUCCGUAGCUGACCUGAGAGGAUGAUCGGCCACACUGGAACUGAGACACGGUCCAGACUCCUACGGGAGGCAGCAGUAGGGAAGCUUCCGCAAUGGGCGAAAGCCUGACGGAGCAACGCCGCGUGAGGGAUGAAGGUCUUCGGAUCGUAAAACUCUGUUAUUAGGGAAGAACAAAUGUGUAAGUAACUAUGCACGUCUUGACGGUACCUAAUCAGAAAGCCACGGCUAACUACGUG